This is a regulatory RNA element of Thioclava sp. SK-1, 49 nucleotides long. It matches the Rfam family "SAM/SAH riboswitch aptamer". The record is from Rfam. NCBI's taxonomy places the organism in Bacteria, Pseudomonadati, Pseudomonadota, Alphaproteobacteria, Rhodobacterales, Paracoccaceae.
GAACCGUCACAACGGCUUCCUGACGUGGCGGGGAUACCCAAAUGGAGCA